Molecule: long non-coding RNA, 404 nt
Filed under: Prunus persica (peach)
Lineage: Eukaryota; Viridiplantae; Streptophyta; Magnoliopsida; Rosales; Rosaceae
Description: long non-coding RNA (PPER_LNC001512)
Source: RNAcentral
AUGACCAUAUCUAUAUAGAUUAAUUGAGUCUAGCUAGGUGACAACAACAGCAAGAACAAUAGCUGAGCCUGAGAUUGAGAACAAAGACAUUAUUAAUUUUGGGAAGGGUCGCGAAAUAUGAUAUUGGUGUUCUUGGUUGUAGCCUCAGUGGACUUGGACUUGGACUUGGAGAGAGAGUGAAAAAAAGAGGCCAUAGAUUGGACCAUGGAAUCAAACAUCAUUCGCUUCACUGACCUCCUUUUUGCUGGAAUCACACUUGCAAAAUUUGAAGUCUUUGGUUUAGAGCAUGUUGUUUUGUUGCCUGCUGCAACCACUUCCUUACCUGGGUUCUUCUUCAUUUCCUCAGAUGGGUUCAGCUUUUCCACCACUUUGGUUAUCUUCUAAAAUUCUGCAAUGGAUUAUGG